This 69-nucleotide transfer RNA is filed under the name Capra hircus (goat). It matches the Rfam family "tRNA". From Rfam's summary of the family: Transfer RNA (tRNA) molecules are approximately 80 nucleotides in length. Their secondary structure includes four short double-helical elements and three loops (D, anti-codon, and T loops). Further hydrogen bonds mediate the characteristic L-shaped molecular structure. tRNAs have two regions of fundamental functional importance: the anti-codon, which is responsible for specific mRNA codon recognition, and the 3' end, to which the tRNAs corresponding amino acid is attached (by aminoacyl-tRNA synthetases). tRNAs cope with the degeneracy of the genetic code in two manners: having more than one tRNA (with a specific anti-codon) for a particular amino acid; and 'wobble' base-pairing, i.e. permitting non-standard base-pairing at the 3rd anti-codon position. The record is from Rfam by way of RNAcentral. RNAcentral also lists the same sequence under 2 other names. Lineage: Eukaryota; Metazoa; Chordata; Mammalia; Artiodactyla; Bovidae.
CCUGGUGGCUCAGACGGUAAAGCGUCUGCCUGCAAUGCGGGAGACCCAGGUUCGAUUCCUGGGUCAGGA